UUUUGUUGCAAACAUAUCCAGAUGAUGCUGCAUAACAUUUUGCACAAAGACACUGUUGGUGUGAUCAAAGCGUUAUGACCAGUUGAGGUGAGAGCAUGUGAGGGUCGCAGAGACUAAAAACCAACUUUAGUUAGAUCUCAUAAGUCUCUUUGAAACUGAGGCGAUUUUGAACAGAGACUUUGUCGUCACGGUGAGGGAAAGGAAUUCCCUUCAGAAGAUGCCUACAGAGCUGGUCAACUUCCUGCCUGUGGACCGACACUGUCCACUCAGAGACCAGAUCACCCAAGGUGUUACUUCUUCUCCACUGAGGAGGAGCUGAAGCAGCGGUCGGGUCGACUGUGUUCAACAGGGCGGAGAUCUGGUGGUCAUUAGUCCAGAGGAACAGGUAGAAAGAGCCCAGUUCUGUGAAUGUGAGGGGAGACAGUGUGUGCCUCCACCAUCAGAGAGACCAACCCUUCUCGGAGCUGGAGAAGAGACCUGCAGCAUCAUGUCCGGAUGGAUCUGUGGGAGCUCAGCGCUCAUAUAGUCAGCAUUGCCAUAUAGACACACGCAUGCACAGAGCACAUUUAUAUGUAGCCUUAAAAUCCUCCAUUAAAAUAGCAUUAAUACAGGAUAGGGC
Long non-coding RNA from Oncorhynchus tshawytscha (Chinook salmon), 619 nucleotides. Lineage: Eukaryota; Metazoa; Chordata; Actinopteri; Salmoniformes; Salmonidae. The record is from Ensembl.